CUACUACUCCCUCCGUCCCAUAUUAAGUGACAAAAUAUUACAUGUAUCUACAUUUUUUGGGUAUAGAUACAUCCAUAUUUGAGCAAAUUUGAGUCACGUAAUAUGGGACGGAGGGAGUAUUAA
Molecule: non-coding RNA, 123 nt
Organism: Brachypodium distachyon (stiff brome)
Lineage: Eukaryota; Viridiplantae; Streptophyta; Magnoliopsida; Poales; Poaceae
Source: Rfam